CCUACGGAGGCAGCAGUGGGGAAUAUUGGACAAUGGGCGAAAGCCUGAUCCAGCCAUGCCGCGUGUGUGAAGAAGGCCUUCGGGUUGUAAAGCACUUUCAGUGGGGAAGAAAGCCUUGGGGCUAAUACCCUCGAGGAAGGACAUCACCCACAGAAGAAGCACCGGCUAACUCCGUGCCAGCAGCCGCGGUAAUACGGAGGGUGCGAGCGUUAAUCGGAAUUACUGGGCGUAAAGCGCGCGUAGGCGGUCUGAUAAGCCGGUUGUGAAAGCCCCGGGCUCAACCUGGGAACGGCAUCCGGAACUGUCAGGCUAGAGUGCAGGAGAGGAAGGUAGAAUUCCCGGUGUAGCGGUGAAAUGCGUAGAGAUCGGGAGGAAUACCAGUGGCGAAGGCGGCCUUCUGGACUGACACUGACGCUGAGGUGCGAAAGCGUGGGUAGCAAACAGGAUUAGAUACCCGUGUAGUC
Molecule: ribosomal RNA, 464 nt
Filed under: Vreelandella stevensii
Lineage: Bacteria; Pseudomonadati; Pseudomonadota; Gammaproteobacteria; Oceanospirillales; Halomonadaceae
Description: partial 16S ribosomal RNA
Rfam family: Bacterial small subunit ribosomal RNA
Source: RNAcentral